Molecule: non-coding RNA, 592 nt
Organism: Callithrix jacchus (white-tufted-ear marmoset)
Lineage: Eukaryota; Metazoa; Chordata; Mammalia; Primates; Cebidae
Source: RefSeq, a predicted model, not a curated record
CUGUCUUAUUUUAGGACACUGCAUUCAUAGCACAUUCUACAAUUAUUCUUGAGAACUGUGAGAAAAUGGGGAAAAAUGGGUUGGUGUAAGGUCACUCAGAGAAUUAUUCUCCAGUCAACAAAUAUAUCUGCAGCAAGAUCGUAUUUCAGGUGAGCUGGUAGAGCUACUCCAUAAGUGGAAACAUUUCUUAUACAGUUCUGCUUCCUUCACUCUCUGAGAGUUAUUGUUAUGAUGACUCUCCAAUGAACCUCCUGUAUCUCUGCUGCAUGUCUAUUAUCUGGGGUAAUCUCCCCAAAAAGUAGUGUCAAGCAGCAUGUCUGAUUAUUCAACUUACGCAGAAAUAGAAGUAUGCUAAGCUUGGGGCAAGAUGGCUGACAAGACAUGGCCAGGUGGAAAUGCUGCCAGCAAGGGACUGAGGUUACUGGUGCACUCUUUCCACAGUGUCAGGCGGAAGGCAUCAGGAGUGGUCGAGAGAAGACACAGAAAUAAACUGGGCUGAAAUGGGAGGAACCUUACACAGGGCUACCAUACACCGGGACUGGGACUUGUUCCUGGUCCCCAGUGACUCUCAGGGAAUGGACCUAACUGGGAA